UGGGUAAGUUCAAGAAUGAUAAUAGUGUAAUUUUCUAAACUUGACAUCAGAGUGAAGGGUACAUGAGGCGUUAUUAUAUUUGUGGUCAAGUAAUUUUCAUUUUCUUUUUGGUGAAGUAAUUCCUCGCUGCUAUGUGUAGACCAUGUUGCCAUCUCAGGCACUUGUGCUCAAUUCGCCUCAGCUGCUUCACUAUAGAAAUUUAGAAUACCGAAAAAUAUAAGAGUAUAAACUCAUAGCAGCACUGUGCAAUGAACUAAAAUUUCUCAAGCGACUAAUGGAAGAUGGGUUGCUAAAAGAAUAGAGCUGCCUCCCCAGCAUGGGCCACCGGAAACAACUAGGAUGGUUUUGUGUAUAUCUGUUUACUUAUGAAAUCCGUUUCUUGGCAGCUGUAAGCCAAGUAGUCAUUGUGGGCCUAAUCAUAUUAUCGUUAAUUUUUUUAACACCAAGGGAAUGGUGUAAUUGUGAACCUAUAAUCCGAACCAGGAAUUACCUCCAGAAGCUAAGCAGACCUCAAUUAUUUUGAUUUGUGUGUGUUAAUUGUUCCUGUCGUCACUCGUCUGUGAUGUUAUUUCUUUACAGUGAGCUAUUUUGCUGCAGAACUAAAUGACUUUGGGCGGUGGGGUUGUCCGGGGGAGUUUGACAAGCAUCAAAAUGGAAAGUUGGAUCAACAUGCGUUGCUUGACGUGUAUUGUUGCAGUGAAAUGCAUCCGGCCAAAGAUACGUUUCAUACUCCAUUGUUCUGUAUAAGUGGAAAAGGGUAUUUGUCUCAUUCUUUCCUGUUUAUAUGCUUGGAAAAUUGUAGAGGACUCAAAAAUGUAUUAAUAAGAAUGCAAUUCCAGUUUACAGAUUCUACAUUUCUUUUGCUCAGUCUGGCACGGUUCUUCUUUACCUUGGUAGAUUAAGCCUUCAACCCUGAUGCAAAGCGGAUGCAUUUCGAGGUUUGUUAUCCUUGUACUUUUAUCCUUAAUGAUUGCUGAAUGUUGAGAAAUGUCUGCUUUGGGUACUUCCGUAUUUUGCCG
This 1019-nucleotide long non-coding RNA is filed under the name Manihot esculenta (cassava). Its description in RNAcentral is "long non-coding RNA (MESC_LNC008846)". Lineage: Eukaryota; Viridiplantae; Streptophyta; Magnoliopsida; Malpighiales; Euphorbiaceae. The record is from RNAcentral.